RNAcentral lists this small nuclear RNA (92 nucleotides) under Otolemur garnettii (small-eared galago). Its description in RNAcentral is "U2 spliceosomal RNA". It matches the Rfam family "U2 spliceosomal RNA". Rfam says of the family: U2 is a small nuclear RNA (snRNA) component of the spliceosome (involved in pre-mRNA splicing). The record is from Rfam by way of RNAcentral. Lineage: Eukaryota; Metazoa; Chordata; Mammalia; Primates; Galagidae.
AUCACUUCUUGGCCUUUUGGCUAAGAUCAAGUGUAGUAUCAAGAGAAGUAUCUUACUUAACUCAUAAUUGCCAAGUUGAGGAAGCAACCUAA